RNAcentral lists this ribosomal RNA (322 nucleotides) under uncultured Chloroflexota bacterium. Its description in RNAcentral is "bacterial SSU rRNA". It matches the Rfam family "Bacterial small subunit ribosomal RNA", at positions 28 to 351 of the family's 1533-position model. Lineage: Bacteria; Bacillati; Chloroflexota. The record is from RNAcentral.
GAUGAACGCUGGCGGCGUGCCUAAUACAUGCAAGUCGAACGGGGAAUGUAGCAAUACAUUCUUAGUGGCGAACGGGUGAGUAACACGUGGGCGACCUGCCCCGAAGAGUGGGAUACCAAUCCGAAAGGAUUGUUAAUACCGCAUACUGUCUCUGGGAUUAGAUGCCUGGCGACUAAAGGAGUAAUCCGCUUUGGGAGGGGCCUGCGUCCCAUCAGCUAGUUGGUAAGGUAACGGCUUACCAAGGCGAUGACGGGUAGGGGACCUGAGAGGGUGACCCCCCACAAUGGAACUGAAACACGGUCCAUACACCUACGGGUGGCAG